Talpa occidentalis (Iberian mole) is the source of this 937-nucleotide long non-coding RNA. RefSeq lists it as uncharacterized. The record is from RefSeq and is a predicted model, not a curated record. The transcript has 6 exons. Lineage: Eukaryota; Metazoa; Chordata; Mammalia; Eulipotyphla; Talpidae.
UUUUCCACGAAGCUCCUCACUCUGCUUUUUCUCUGGAAUGUUAAUCUUUUAAAGGGUUCUGGGCUACAAGUCUCUUUCUUUAAGCAUGUCAAACAUCUCCUUCCUAACAGUCUGAUUGGUGUUCCCGUAUAGGUUACUGUAGGGUAAAAGUUAAUCAGGCUUUAUAUGCCACUAGCCUCUAUGGCUAUCAACUGUGGCCUUGACUGUGUUAAUGCAGAAGGCGCUUAAGUCACGCAUACCUGAUGGUGGACAUCUGCGCCUCGUAAGUGGGCAUACCUGAGCCUAAAGGCCAGCGAUGUAAGGCCAGCGAUGUAAGGGCCAGCCUAAAGGCCAGCGAUGUACUCAGAAACAGACAACCCCUGCAAGAGGACGAGUGUUGUGACUACAGAGGAGGAAACACUGGAAAUUUGUGCAGUCACAAAGAAGUGUCUACUCAUCUCAGAAACUCACAGAAGCCUUUCCUAGCUCUCUGAGAGCAGCAUACUUACAGAAUGAACAAAAGGAAGACUUGUGCUUCAGAGAUGUGAGAUGCUAUGAUGUGAUUCAUCAGGCCUUUCUUCUGGAAAAGAUUUUGCUGUGUUUCUAUUUAUUUUUUUGAGGUCAGAGAUGAAGAUUAAAGAUGAAAAAUGUGACUUGACCAAGAUCAUAAAACUAGUUUUUCCUGAGAGCACUCCUGAAAUAAAUUAACUCCACCAGAAUCCAGACAAGCUGUCAUUCAACCCUACACUGAAAUACAAAGGAGUCCUAUGCAAGAAGCCACAAACAUCCAAGUCGAAGGCUGGAAGCACUGCUUGAGAAGCAAGAUGCAGUCUGAGUCAUAGGUAAUGGCUGGUGUAAAGAAAAGAGCAGAGGAAUAAUCAGAAAGAGAAUGCCAAGUAUUGAAAGUAAGAGUCAGAGUGAAAGAGAUGCUACCCAUUAGAAAAUAAAUCAAAGUACU